GUCCAUGGAGCUUGCUCCGGAAGAUCGAGUGGCGAACGGGUGAGUAACACGUGAGAAACCUGCCCCGAAGACCGGGAUAACCCACCGAAAGGUGGGCUAAUACCGGAUACCUUCACGACGUCUCCUGGCGAUGUGAAGAAAUGGAUUCCGCUUUGGGAGGGUCUCGCGGCCUAUCAGCUUGUUGGUGAGGUAACGGCUCACCAAGGCGACGACGGGUAGCUGUUCUGAGAGGAAGAUCAGCCACACUGGGACUGAGACACGGCCCAGACUCCUACGGGAGGCAGCAGUGGGGAAUCUUGCGCAAUGGGCGAAAGCCUGACGCAGCGAUGCCGCGUGCGGGAAGACGGCCUUAGGGUUGUAAACCGCUUUCAGCAGGGACGAAAUUGACGGUACCUGCAGAAGAAGCUCCGGCCAACUACGUGCCAGCAGCCGCGGUAAGACGUAGGGGGCGAGCGUUGUCCGGAAUUAUUGGGCGUAAAGGGCUCCUAGGUUGUUCAGUAAGUCGACUGUGAAAAUCCAAGGCUCAACCUUGGGACGCCAGUCGAUACUGCUGUGACUCGAGUUCGGUAGAGGAGUGUGGAAUUCCUGGUGUAGCGGUGA
This 600-nucleotide ribosomal RNA is filed under the name uncultured Actinomycetes bacterium. RNAcentral's name for it is "bacterial SSU rRNA". It matches the Rfam family "Bacterial small subunit ribosomal RNA", at positions 69 to 684 of the family's 1533-position model. Lineage: Bacteria; Bacillati; Actinomycetota; Actinomycetes. The record is from RNAcentral.